This 448-nucleotide ribosomal RNA is filed under the name uncultured bacterium. RNAcentral's name for it is "bacterial SSU rRNA". It matches the Rfam family "Bacterial small subunit ribosomal RNA", at positions 329 to 794 of the family's 1533-position model. The record is from RNAcentral.
UUCCAGACUCCUACGGGAGGCAGCAGUGGGGGAUAUUGCACAAUGGGGGAAACCCUGAUGCAGCGACGCCGCGUGAGUGAAGAAGUAUUUCGGUAUGUAAAGCUCUAUCAGCAGGGAAGAAGAUGACAGUACCUGAGUAAGAAGCCCCGGCUAACUACGUGCCAGCAGCCGCGGUAAUACGUAGGGGGCGAGCGUUAUCCGGAUUCACUGGGUGUAAAGGGAGCGUAGACGGCCAUGCAAGCCAGGGGUGAAAGCCCGGGGGCCAACCCCGGGACUGCCCUUGGAACUGCAUGGCUGGAGUGCGGGAGGGGCAGGCGGAAUUCCUGGUGUAGCGGUGAAAUGCGUAGAUAUCAGGAGGAACACCGGCGGCGAAGGCGGCCUGCUGGACCGCGACUGACGUUGAGGCUCGAAAGCGUGGGGAGCGAACAGGAUUAGAUACCCCAGUAAC